RNAcentral lists this ribosomal RNA (489 nucleotides) under uncultured bacterium. Its description in RNAcentral is "partial 16S ribosomal RNA". It matches the Rfam family "Bacterial small subunit ribosomal RNA", at positions 30 to 507 of the family's 1533-position model. The record is from RNAcentral.
UUGAACGCUGGCGGCAGGCCUAACACAUGCAAGUCGAACGGUAACAGGAAGAAGCUUGCUUCUUUGCUGACGCGUGGCGGACGGGUGAGUAAUGUCUGGGAAACUGCCUGAUGGAGGGGGAUAACUACUGGAAACGGUAGCUAAUACCGCAUAACGUCGCAAGACCAAAAAGGGGGACCUUCGGGCCUCUUGCCAUCGGAUGUGCCCAGAUGGGAUUAGCUAGUAGGUGGGGUAACGGCUCACCUAGGCGACGAUCCCUAGCUGGUCUGAGAGGAUGACCAGCCACACUGGAACUGAGACACGGUCCAGACUCCUACGGGAGGCAGCAGUGGGGAAUAUUGCACAAUGGGCGCAAGCCUGAUGCAGCCAUGCCGCGUGUAUGAAGAAGGCCUUCGGGUUGUAAAGUACUUUCAGCGGGGAGGAAGGGAGUAAAGUUAAUACCUUUGCUCAUUGACGUUACCCGCAGAAGAAGCACCGGCUAACUCCGUG